UACCAGCUCUCCGAGUUGUAGGGAUGAUUAUUGGGCUUAAAGCGUCCGUAGCUGGCUUAGCAAGUCUCCUGUUAAAUUCAGCGACCUAAUCGUUGAGCCGCGGGAGAUACUACUAGGCUAGGAGGCGGGAGAGGUCGACGGUACUUUCGGGGUAGGGGUGAAAUCCUAUAAUCCCGGGAGGACCACCAGUGGCGAAGGCUGUCGACUAGAACGCGCUCGACGGUGAGGGACGAAAGCUGGGGGAGCGAACCGGAUUAGAUACCCGGGUAGUCCCAGCUGUAAACUAUGCGGGCUAGGUGUUGGGGUGGCUACGGGCCACUUCAGUGCCGCAGGAAAGCCAUUAAGCCCGCCGCCUGGGGAGUACGGCCGCAAGGCUGAAACUUAAAGGAAUUGGCGGGGAGCACCACAAGGCGUGAAGCUUGCGGUUC
RNAcentral lists this ribosomal RNA (428 nucleotides) under uncultured archaeon. RNAcentral's name for it is "bacterial SSU rRNA". It matches the Rfam family "Archaeal small subunit ribosomal RNA", at positions 474 to 903 of the family's 1478-position model. The record is from RNAcentral.